AGUACUCGGAGCGCCGGGGAGGCCGCGGAGACUCACGUGUGCAGCCCCAGCCGCGGGCGCCCGGAAGCACGCGCGCCGACCCCGUGGGAGCCGAACGCGGGAGCCGCUGCCCGAGCGGAGCUGCUCACCCGCGGGACUGAUGACCUUGGCCAUGAGGCACCCCCAACUGCUGUCUGCUCAGGCGCAACCUGCGUGACUGAGCCUCCGCUGCGCCAGCUGUUUCACGUCACCAUUCCCUUUACUGAACCCUGGCCCAGUCUGGAGCCACAGCCCGCGCUCAGCCUUCAGGAAGCCCCUGGGGCCCAGCCCUUCCUGCUCCGGCUGCUCUCAGGGCCCCUGCCCAGCCAAAGGGCAGUUCCAGGAAGACUCCCUCUGGCCCAGCCCAGGGCUGCAGCCACAGCUGGUCUUCAGCCCGCCGCACAUCUUUGCAGAGUUUGAUGGGGCGCCGGGCGGAUGACAGCGGGAACGGUUGUGAUCACUGGCGGAAUCCUAGCUACGGUCAUCCUCCUCUGCAUCAUUGCCGUGCUGUGCUACUGCAGGCUCCAGUAUUACUGCUGCAAGAAGAGUGGAACCGAGGAUGCAGACGAGGAGGAGGAGCAGGAGCACGACCUUCCCACGCACCCCAGAGGCCCCAGCUGCAAUGCCUGCAGCUCCCAAGCCCUGGACGGCAGAGGCAGCCUGGCGCCUCUCACCGGGGAGCCCUGCAGCCAGCCCUGUGGGGUGGCAGCGAGCCACUGCACGACCUGCUCCCCAUACAGCUCCGCCUUUUACAUACGGACGGCUGACAUGGUGCCCAAUGGGGGUGGAGGCGAGAGGCUCUCCUUUGCUCCCACAUACUACAAAGAGGGGGGACCCCUAUCCCUCAAACUGGCAGCACCCCAGAGUUACCCGGUGACCUGGCCAGGCUCUGGGCGUGAGGCCUUCACCAAUCCAAGGGCUAUUAGUACAGACGUGUAAACCCUUCCGCUCUAACCCGCAGACACGCCCACACUGCUGCCCUGGCGGGAGCCAUGGACACAGUAGCUGACCCUCCAACAGCCCCUCACGGGCUCUCUCUGUUUCUUUGGCUUUUCUUACUCCACAGUGAAGGGUUUACUAGGAUCUAAGCUUUUGAUUGCAUUGAGAAGCGGGACAGGGCCUGGCUCCAACUCCGUGGCCCAUAGGUGGGGCGCUGCUAGGUUGAGUCUGCAGCUUCGCCGGGUUCUCGGUUGGGACACUCCUCUGGCAGCCCCAGCAGCACCACAACCCUUGCAGUGUGCCCAGCCCCUGGCUUUGCUGGACUGCACAAAGCACCGCGGAAAGCUCAGCGAAGGCUCUGGAGGCCUCCAGCGCCCUUGGGAGAUGAAGCAUCUGUGCCUACGAGAAGGGGACAGAGGGCAGGGGGAGAAGGGAGAGCUGCGAUUCCAGCAUUGGAGAAGCCAGGGGAGGGGCGCGAACGGGGCCGCGUAUCCAAGAGCUAGUUCACAACCCACUUUUGUACGUUGGUUACCAUAGCCACUGCUGUCACUGUAGCUGCUCCCGUAGGGACGUUGAUUCCUGAACGUGUCACAUCUCGCCUGCCCCCUUCCUCGUGGAACACGUCGAGUUUACUUUAAAGCCUAAGGUGACUUACGGGGACGGCACCAGAAAGUGACUCUAACCUUGUGUUCCCCGAAAUCCUUUCUCUGCCUUAGGAACCAGCGCCCCCUGCUGGAGAAGCUUUUUCAUUUCGUUACCAGAUGUCUAGUAGUUUAGCAGAGACCAGCUGACUGUCUCGGCCCAGCCCACCACCCCGAGCAGCUCGCGUGGAUGCAGUCCUGUGAGGGUGUGUGCACUCCCGUUCCCAGGUGUACACACACACACCAGUCACCACCGGUAGGCAACAGGGGCUUUGUACCUUCAGGAGCUGCAGAGUGGAAAGGUCUCCCGUGUACCAUCGAGAAAGAGAAGUCUGAUCCCCAAAUAGGUUGAAUGAAAGGCGGUUAACGUGGCCAAUCCCCAUGGCAGCCAGCGGGCUGGUGAACAGGAAGAGCUCAGACUCUCCAUGGGGUGAAGCUGCAGCAGCUGAAACCACGUCAGCACCCCCAUAGCCCAGCAUUCUACUCGGACAUCCACCCGUGACGCCGUUGAGCAGGACCUUCAUCCCAGAGCAACAGCACAUAGCCUUGGGAUUCCACGCUCGCCGCCCACACGUGGCCGCCCUACUCCCCAGUCUCUGGCGAUGAGCCGUUCAUUGUGGCUCACACCAGCUUCAUUUCCAACUCUGACUUCCCACUUAGAACGUGGCCGUGGCCUUAUGCUUGGUGAGUGAGCAUGCCUGAUGAGUUUUCCAGUGGCCCUGCAGAAGCUCGCCCCACUCCCACUCCUGAGUCACUGAAUUCGCAGAGGGUGGGGCAGGGAAAGGGCUGGUCUCCCUGCUGCAAUCUUGAUUCUGCAUUUGACAAAAGCAGGGUGCCUCUGAGGGAGCAAGGAGGGAGGAGGGGAACGCACGUCCUUUGCACCACGAUUAAGGCACCUUUCACCUUACAUCUCAAUCAGUAAUCGAAGCGCCCUGAGUUGAGAAGCAGACUGGGCUCUGGUUACACUUUGGUCACUCAUUAGCUCUAGGACCAGUCACUAAUCUCUGAGACUCCAUUUUCUCUGGGGAAACGUGGUUUGCCCAGAUAAACUAAGGACCAUUUAGUGCUCUAGGAAGUAAGGAUUUCCCAAAAAGAUCUGCUGGCCCGGGCCACUCCCUCUUGCCCUAAUCCUGGCAGGGUCUGGAGGUAUUGACCCAGCUUUCUGACCUUGUGUGCCGGGAUGCUUGCUGAUGGAUGAAAGACCACAAUAAAACAAGAUUAGCAGCAAA
This is a non-coding RNA of Saimiri boliviensis boliviensis (Bolivian squirrel monkey), 2827 nucleotides long. The record is from RefSeq and is a predicted model, not a curated record. Lineage: Eukaryota; Metazoa; Chordata; Mammalia; Primates; Cebidae.